Molecule: unclassified non-coding RNA, 414 nt
Filed under: soil metagenome
Description: partial contains 5.8S ribosomal RNA, internal transcribed spacer 2, and large subunit ribosomal RNA
Rfam family: 5.8S ribosomal RNA (bases 1-120)
Source: RNAcentral
GAUGAAGAACGUAGCGAAAUGCGAUAAGUAAUGUGAAUUGCAGAUUUCAGUGAAUCAUCGAAUCUUUGAACGCACCUUGCGCCUUGUGGUAUUCCACAAGGCAUGCCCGUUUGAGUAUCAUUAAAUCAUCAACUCUAAAAACUUUGUGUUUUUUUGAGCUUGGUCUUGAGGGUUUUUUGCAGGCGGUUCCGUCUGCUCCCUUUAAAUGCAUUAGCGAGACUUCCCUAUGCUGAACCGUCUCUUUGACGUGAUAAUUAUCUGCGUCGAAUUUUGGUUCUCGUUGGGCUUGCUUCUAAUCGUCUGUUAAAGACAAAACGGAUUUGGGUGCAUAUAUGCGCCUUUUUCCAAAACCUUUUUUGAUCUCAAAUCGGGUAGGACUACCCGCUGAACUUAAGCAUAUCAAUAAGCGGAGGA